This is a long non-coding RNA of Callithrix jacchus (white-tufted-ear marmoset), 187 nucleotides long. RefSeq lists it as uncharacterized. Lineage: Eukaryota; Metazoa; Chordata; Mammalia; Primates; Cebidae. The record is from RefSeq and is a predicted model, not a curated record.
UUAAAAGCUUCAGAGUCCACAAAUGGAUGUGCCUCUGCUGAUUCGGGCUUCAGUUCAGUCCCUUUAUGCCUGCCUCAUAUACCCUUCAAUCCUGGGAAGGUGGCUCCUGGUGGCUUGAACGGAAUGUGCAUCUCAAAAGAAGGCUGCAGGCUGCUACCACCUGAAAAAGAAGAGCUACCUGGGAAGG